CAGCGCGUAGCUUAAUCAAGCCAUAGCAUCUCACUUACACCGAGAAGAUGCCCGUGCAAACCGGGCCGCACUGA
This 74-nucleotide transfer RNA is filed under the name Trimma caesiura (Caesiura dwarfgoby). RNAcentral's name for it is "tRNA-Val". It matches the Rfam family "tRNA". Rfam says of the family: Transfer RNA (tRNA) molecules are approximately 80 nucleotides in length. Their secondary structure includes four short double-helical elements and three loops (D, anti-codon, and T loops). Further hydrogen bonds mediate the characteristic L-shaped molecular structure. tRNAs have two regions of fundamental functional importance: the anti-codon, which is responsible for specific mRNA codon recognition, and the 3' end, to which the tRNAs corresponding amino acid is attached (by aminoacyl-tRNA synthetases). tRNAs cope with the degeneracy of the genetic code in two manners: having more than one tRNA (with a specific anti-codon) for a particular amino acid; and 'wobble' base-pairing, i.e. permitting non-standard base-pairing at the 3rd anti-codon position. The record is from RNAcentral. Lineage: Eukaryota; Metazoa; Chordata; Actinopteri; Gobiiformes; Gobiidae.